AUACGAAAGGUGCAAGCGUUGUUCGGAUUUACUAGGCGUAAAGAGAGUGUAGGUGGUUUAUUAAGUCGGAUGUGAAAUCCCGGGGCUCAACCUCGGAACUGCAUUCGAUACUGAUAGGCUAGAGUUUGGGAGGGGUAAGCGGAAUUCCGUGUGUAGCAGUGAAAUGCGUAGAUAUACGGAGGAACACCUGAGGCGAAGGCGGCUUACUGGACCAAUACUGACACUGAGACUCGAAAGCGUGGGUAGCAAACAGGAUUAGAAACCCCAGUAGUCC
This 274-nucleotide ribosomal RNA is filed under the name uncultured bacterium. Its description in RNAcentral is "partial 16S ribosomal RNA". It matches the Rfam family "Bacterial small subunit ribosomal RNA", at positions 523 to 796 of the family's 1533-position model. The record is from RNAcentral.